Molecule: small nucleolar RNA, 130 nt
Organism: Zootoca vivipara (common lizard)
Lineage: Eukaryota; Metazoa; Chordata; Lepidosauria; Squamata; Lacertidae
Product: small nucleolar RNA SNORD22
Source: RefSeq, a predicted model, not a curated record
UCCCAAUGAGGAGAUAAGGCAACAUGUCUUACCAUCUGUCUUGGCUCCAGAACCUGCAAAGGUUGAACCCACUGGAGCUGGCAGAGCGGAGAAGAGGAAACCUACUCCAGAAGGAGCUGUCUGAUGGGAU